Non-coding RNA from Coffea arabica (coffee), 1512 nucleotides. The record is from RefSeq and is a predicted model, not a curated record. NCBI's taxonomy places the organism in Eukaryota, Viridiplantae, Streptophyta, Magnoliopsida, Gentianales, Rubiaceae.
CAGGAGAUGCAGUAUCAGCGACUAAUGUGGAAGGAGGACAACUAAAACAGAUACAUGCAUGAGUUUUUAGCUCUCCAAGCCAUCACUUUAACAAUGCACAUAUACAAAAAUGAUACAAUUUCUAACUUUUAAGAGCAAAGGGUCCUUUCAUUUAAUGGUCCCAGGAACCUUCAGUAGUUUCAUCAAUAACCUGCUACCAACAGACAAAGCGUGGCAUAUAUUUAAUGUGCCUAUUGUUUACGUCGACAAUUAGCACAAAAUGAGUUCUAAAUGAGCAUCGACAGAACCAAAAAAAAAAAAAGCACUGCAUCCUAGACUGCUCUACAAAAGACAUCAGCUUCUAAGAGCUAACGCUUUUUAGUCAGUUUCACGGUGAGAUGCACACACAUACCACAGGACUCCCAAGUCAUAUGAAACAACAAGCAAUAAGCACAAUCGUACAAUAGAUCAUUUGAAGCUUAUCUCCAUUAGCACCGUAAACAAAAUCUUACUACAUAUAAAACCCGAGAGGGGUUGUGGUGUUCACAUUUCUGUCAACUUAUUGGAUUAUCUUUUUUGUCUUAUUACAAAGGGUAAACAGUACAACCUUUUACCAACCAAAAAAAAAAAAAAUGUUUAUCAAGAACUACCAACCUAUACUUUACCCACAUCCAUGUUUCCAUUCCAAACAUGUAUGUUCACACUGCUCCAUCCAAAAUAUGUACAUCUAAUCAUUCACCAUACUUCUGCAGUACUCUUAACACUACCACAGAAACUACCGAACAAAAGGAAAUACCAUAUUUGUAACUUCCAAUAACUUCUUGUCAUCCUUUUACUUUCAUCUUCUCUUUUGUUUCUUUUUUCUCAAUCCAAUUAUCUAAAUCAUGCCUAUACCACUAGUUAGAAAUAAUUAUUCAUGGCCCAAAAUUGCAGUUUGAAGAAGUCAGAGCAGCUGUUCUCUACUUUUCUUCUUAUUCACCAUUUGUUGAUGGAAUUUGUGUCUACACGGGUAUCAGAUAUAUCAUGCCCACCAAUACCAUCAUCUUCUCAUAUGGCCCUCACAGCUAAGAUAGAAGCAUGCACACAGAAAAUAGAUGGAGAUAUAAAAGGUUGAGGGCCAAAUGUCAAUUGAAAAAGAACGUAAACAGGAAGGGUAAACAGAAAGCCAUACAUUGUUGAAGGCCCAAAAAAAAAAAAAAAGACUUCAAGUAAGCAUCAGCCUAUUUAAAUUUGCUGAAUUUUCACACAGUUUCCUUGCAUCUCAGCCUACCCUCAAGACUUGCAUGUAAUAUUGACAAGUUGGACUGCGUUGAUCUAUAUAAAACUUUAAACUAUGGCCAAGUUGGGGAUUGAAAAACUUCUCAAAUGGGCAAAGCAGUUUUAGCCCUCUUAAAACGAUUAUGCACAACUAAGAUUUCUUUAUAACCUUAGUUGACCAUGACAAAAAAUCAACUACUGCACAUCAGAGAAUCAGAAGAAACUGUAGGUAUUACCUUAAUGAUGUAAUAGUAGAACACUGCAAUUGCUCAUCAA